GACGAACGCUGGCGGCGUGCUUAACACAUGCAAGUCGAACGGAAAGGCCCUGCUUUUGUGGGGCGCUCGAGUGGCGAACGGGUGAGUAACACGUGAGUAACCUGCCCUUGACUUUGGGAUAACUUCAGGAAACUGGGGCUAAUACCGGAUAGGAGCUCCUGCUGCAUGGUGGGGGUUGGAAAGUUUCGGCGGUUGGGGAUUGGCUCGCGGCUUAUCAGCUUGUUGGUGGGGUAGUGGCUUACCAAGGCUUUGACGGGUAGCCGGCCUGAGAGGGUGACCGGCCACAUUGGGACUGAGAUACGGCCCAGACUCCUACGGGAGGCAGCAGUCGGGAAUAUUGCGCAAUGGGCGGAAGCCUGAUGCAGCAGCGCCGCGUGCGGGAUGACGGCCUUCGGGUUAUAAACCGCUUUCGCCUGUGACGAAGCGUGAGUGACGGUACUGGGUAAAGAAGCACCGGCUAACUACGUG
RNAcentral lists this ribosomal RNA (468 nucleotides) under uncultured bacterium. RNAcentral describes it as "partial 16S ribosomal RNA". It matches the Rfam family "Bacterial small subunit ribosomal RNA", at positions 28 to 507 of the family's 1533-position model. The record is from RNAcentral.